Molecule: transfer RNA, 69 nt
Filed under: Marmota monax (woodchuck)
Lineage: Eukaryota; Metazoa; Chordata; Mammalia; Rodentia; Sciuridae
Also listed under: 1 other name
Rfam family: tRNA
About the family: Transfer RNA (tRNA) molecules are approximately 80 nucleotides in length. Their secondary structure includes four short double-helical elements and three loops (D, anti-codon, and T loops).
Source: Rfam by way of RNAcentral
GGGGUUAUAGCUCAGUGGUAGAGCACUUGCCUUGCAUGCGUGAGGCCAUGGGUUCAAUCCUCAGCAUCA